ACAGGUAAAAAAGCUGGUUAGCAAGCAAACAAAAUGCAGAAAAAGGCAAUAGAGGGAAGGCUGUCACCUUAAUGCAGAAGCAUUCUAGAGUCAGUGAAUGACCUCCCUGACUGGCACGAGUGGACGAAGAACCUGGACAGGAGAGGCUUAACCUCUUCUCUUUGCUCCUUUUGGAUGGCCUGCCUGUGGAGAGGUGCUUCUUGCUUGUGUCUUCCCCUCAUGAGAAGCUUAAGGGAGAAGACAUCAUUCCUGCAGCAUAGGUCUGAAGUUAGGGAGCAAGUUCAAUCAAACUGAGAGAAUUGCUCCACAUGCAGCUGAAAAUUCAGUGUGUCCGUGGGAGGAGGUAAGGUGACAAGUCUCCUGUGUCACUAUCUUAAACCAGAACCUCUGUCAUGUUCCUUUUGAGGGUUUUCAUUUACUACUUUUAAAUUCAGCAACUAUCUCCUUAAGGCAUGCCCUGACUCUUCAAGUACUUGGCAUAUUCUUGAAGGAUAGGGAGCUUGUUGUGUAUUGCUUUUACCAUUUCUUUUUUUUUAAAUAUCACUUAGUGAAGUGGUAUUGAAAUAUACUGGAGAUGAAUGUAAGUGAACGUAAAUAGUGAAAUGGGUGAAAAUGUAUUUUAUCAGAGAUCCCAUUUGGUAAAAUGUGGAAUAGUGGAGGUAGCAGAGAUUUCUAAAGCAGAAAGAACUAAAAGGAAAGUUGAAACAGAUUUUAAUUUUUAUGUUGAUGAAUGAUGAAAAGUAUAUAAGUGGAACUAAAUAAAAUAAAUGCAAUCAAUACAUAGUAUUAUAAUACUAGUUCUAAUGCAUUAUAUUUAUUGUAGUAGUGAUUCAGUAUAUGAGAAUCUCUUUACUAUUAAGGCUUUCAAGGAUUGGUUUAUACCCACAUUAAACAUUCUAUAGAUUUGAAUGUAAUUGCUUUCAGGGAUAAUACAAAUGUAAAGUAAAUAAAUUUUUAGAAUAAUUUAAUUAUAGUUCAUGAGUAUUGAUUUUUGUGGGACACAAUCUCAAGGAUAUUCUGAGGAAAAUAAGAUCUUAUAAAAUAGGUGAAACAAAUAUAGAAAAGUCUAGUACUUUAAAUCAAUAUCGAUCACUAUAUUAAAACUGAAUUGAUUGAGAACACAUUAAAUAUAUUAAAAGACUGGACAUUAGUUAAGUGCUGGCAUACCAGGAGGAAUUAAAGAUCUCAUUAAACUAUAGCCUUUUCUUAUAUCUUAAGCUGUCUAUUAUAAUAUUAGAGAAAAAAAUUUAUAUAGGAACAAACAACCCCAAACUUCUCAUCCACUUACCUAGUAAAUAAACAACAAAACAAACAAAUAUCUCCAUUGAAUUUUUCUGUUUUGAACAUGGGGACUUAAGGGAUAUUUAGUGAAUAAAUAGGAAAAGCAGGUGGUAGUUAAACAUAUAGUGAGGAAAUAGUGCAUGAAAUUAGGGUUUCACAUAGAUAAUCUGUGUAAUAUGGCUAUGACUUUCCUACAAAGUGAGAAGAAAAAUUUUUCAGGUGAAUUUUCAGAUCUAUAAUUUAAACCUCAUCAUAUUAAUAUAUUUUCCUCCACACUUGGGCUGCUUUUACGUCCCUCUGACUGAGGAUUGUUAUGGCUUCAAGUUUGAAAUAUUGUAAAUAUUGCAGUUUUGUGCUUUUAAGUUCCAUAGCUACAAAUAUGUUCAGAGUGCUUUUUCAUUAUGGGAUAAGUUUGUUGAGAAUUUUCUAAAUGCUUAAUCAUAGCUCAGGCAACUUAGGGGAUUUUGGAGAAAAGGAAGAAGGAAAUACAGAUAAAUCUGGAUAAAGAGGAAGCAUGGAAUUAAAAUUUUUAGGGGCCAAAAACUUAACAAAAGGGGACAUUUAAUCUCAGAUGAUUUUGGAGAGAUUCUAGAAACUUUACAUUUGCAAGCAACACCUAUCUUAGCUAUCUUAGCACAGAGUAUUGUGAACUGGCACAAUCUGACAACAUAGCCCUAGAAUUUUAGGGUGUUUCAUGCCACAAUUCCUUUUAUAAAUGUGAAAUAUGAAGAUCUUUUUAGAGUUACAAAACUAUUAGUGUCAGGGCUCUCAAUUCUCUGUUCCAGUGCUUCUUUCUCUUUCUUUUUUCUUUUUUUUUUUUUUUUUUUGGCAUAGGAAUAAUGUUCUUUGUCCUAGCAUAACAAUUUGAGUGAAUGGCAUUUGACUUGAGAUAUCUAUUCACAUUCAUCAAAUAUUUUCGUGGAGGCUUUUAUAAAUUACUUCUAUACACUUGACUUAAUGCAUUGUCUGUAAAAAUUAACAUAAUGUUUGCCUUCUACCACCCUCUAAAAUGAUUAUAAAGAUUAAUGGGGAAAUGGCUUCCCAAAAUACUGAUAUCUCAACUGCAAAAUGAGGAGGUUGGUUGAACCAGGUGAUAUCAAUUGUCAUUUCCAGCUCUGAAAGGGACCCACAGUUACCAGAUGAGACCCCUCUCUUCUCCCUUACUUAUCUUUGUUGAUUUAUUCUUUCAAAUUCAGUGGGGUUAGCUUCCUACUUAUUGCUCUGGUUGGGGAUAGGUACAACUUUUGGAUACCCCCCCACCCCGCCAACCCCGCAGUCACCUAUGCAUGCCACUAUCAUUUUCCUUACUAAGCAAGUCAGUCUUCCUCCAUUUGAAUGAAGUCUUUGAUGUUGGAGUCUGUUUAAUUUACUCCUGUAAACCAAAUGCCUAGCACAGCACAUGGAACUUAGUGGAAUCAAAGCAAAUAUUUGUCAAAUCAAAGAAAAACCUAAGAUGUUCUUAGUUCCUAGGAUGCCAGUGAUGAUGGACUAGCACUGAGUCCUCAGUGGUCAGUGUUUGGGAGGCUCUAGAUUUUUUAGGUGCAUUUUAAGUGUAGGACAGCUUCUCUAAUCCUAGUUUCUUACCCUGGUGAAAAUAGGUUCUGUUUACAAUCACUCACCACUGUAAUCAGUUGUUUGUAUCUGGAGAUAAAUAUGGAACUAUAAAGAGAAGGGAAAUGUGAUCAAAGAUAACAGAAGAAGAAAGGAAGGUGAACUCAGGGUAAGACUUUAUAUGAACUGAAUCUGUAAUCACCAUUGCAGUGAAUGUCAUGGUAAUUAUUUGCCAUCAGAAUGUUACAUGUUAUUGAGAUAUUCUUUUUUUGUGUGUGGGCACAAUGAAAACAUAUUUGUUCUGGAAAACAUGUUAAAGACCCAAAUAGUACAUAUUUUAGUCAGUUCUCUGAUAAAUGAGGAAAUAAAACACUUAUUUGACUUGAUGGCAUUUUAAGAUAUUAUAUUAAUGACAUUUUAAAAAUAAUCAUUUUAAAAUUAAUGCCCAGUGGAGAAAGGAAUUGAAGGAAUUAAAAGUGAAAAUUUUGUUUUAAAAAUACUGUUUUCUAGGGUUUAAAUUUUGAAAAGAUGAUAAAAUCAAUGCAUAAAAUUGAAGAUUUGAUAUAAAUUAUAAAGACUUAUCUCUUCAUUGACUAGAAAACUAAUUUAUUAGAGUCCUGAUCAGACUGUACCACAGAGGAAGGAAAAUUUUUGUGGCAUCAUGUGGGAGUUGGACAUGGUGACCUUUAAUGCCCCUUCCAUCCAGAGAGUCUGUAAGUGGAUGAAAACACAGUGAUGAGAAAUGUGCUAAGGACACACCCAAUGCCCUCUGUUUUAAAAAUGAAUAUUUUAAAUGGCAAUAUGCUGUUUGUUUUCAAUUUCUCCAACUUUUAUCAUUAAAAAUAUCCUUGUUACCAUUUCUCAUUCAAGCUCCUAAUGACAGUCUGUGACCUUUUUCUGGGAAAAAAAAAAAAAAGGCAGUCUGUCUGAAUUCUUGUUACAAAGAAGCAAUGCAAAUGAAAGAGGUUCCAAUUUCCCAGAAGCUGCUAAAUGACACCUUCCAACUAUAACCCGCUGGUCUCCAGAGGGUAAUUAAAUUGCAGAUGGGGAAUAUAUAUGUGAUUUAUUUUUAGAACAGGUUCGAGAAAAUAAAAUAUACCUGACAUUUAAGUUUUUAGGUUUGUAGGGGAAUUAUUAGUAUAGUUGGUUAUGACUUUAGAUUUUCACUGUGUGUUAAGAGAUUUCAAUCAGUGAUAGUGCAGUUCACUCUAAUGGAAUCUUAAUGGCAAAUUAGAGAAAUGUAGUAGAAACUAUCCUGGAAUUGCAACAAUAGUUUGCUACACUAAGCACAGAUAUAGAUAUUAUGGCCCAUUUAUGAAGUGUCCUUAAGCUUUUUUAGUUGUGUGUGCACAUUCACAAAUAGCAGUAGGAAACUGAUCAGGAUAGAGGAAGUCAUUCCAAACUUUGAAAAUGGGCAGUUGAGAGCCAUCCUUAUGUGAACUAGUUUCUACUACCUCUUUUUUUUUUUUUUUUUUUUUUUUUUUUUUAGUAAUUUUACUGAUUUGUGUUAAUGUCGAGAUAUUGCAUACAUUAAAUGAUCUUUCAGAAAGGUUUAAAAUGUUUAAUAUAUGAACUUGGGAUUUUAGCAUUUUCUUCUUUUUUGAGUGUAGAUGGGAAAGUAUUUGGUUAAUGUGCCAGCUUUAGCUCAUCAAAUAUGAAACCUUUAUUGCUUUUCUCUUAGAUGUGUGGGAAGAUAUAAUGUAAAUUUGGAAGCAAGUUAGCAAGUUGUUAUUUUACCAAAUUCAUUAAUUUUUUUUCCCUUUAUAAGUUGCCUAGGGGAUAUGAGGAAGGGGAUUUAGGAAAACAGGAGUUUGCAAUUUAAGGAAACAGCUUAAGGAUAGCAGCUUGGAAAACUUAAGUGGGUGACUGCUUUGCAAGCUACAGACCACCAAGUCAAAUAUUGUCUUUGGGAAAGGGAACUGUGUUUUCUUUCAAGCAAAUCUAAAAAUAUUUAGAUAUAUUUUAUCCGAGAUAAAUUUAAAAACUGAGCAUUCUUCAUUUUGAGUUUAAGAAGAACAGAACUCUGCAUGUGAAAUUCUUUUUGUGGGAAAUGAGUCAAUUAGAUAAUUAUGGGUGGAAUGUGAAAGGAGAAAGUUAGGAAAAUCUUAAUAUGUUAGGCUUUUUUUUUUGUUAAUAGAUAAUGGGAAUGAGUGAGAAUUGAAAUCUAAUAUUCAGUUACAAUGAGCCCAAGACAACCCAGUUUAGCAGCCUGCAGCAACACUGGCUCCUUAACCUAUUGAGAGAGGCCAGGGAUUGAGCCUGCAUCCUCACAGAGACAACAUCUUGUGCCUAACCCACUGAGCCACAGUGGGGACUCCUAAGACCUGAACAUUUCUGACCCGAGGUUAGAAUCAGAAGGAAAGGGUGCAUUAGAGAAGAUGGUGGCACUGGGAGACUCCUAAUUUAAUGCCAAGUGUUCCUGAUAGGGGAAAAUUCACAUUGUUAGAAUUGUGAUAGAAAUGUCCAAAAAUAUACCAAAUAAGCUAUGUAAACUGUGAAACAUCAAUUUACUUUGUGGUAGAGUGAAAAAUCACAAAUUUUCCAUCUAGCUAAUUGAGAGAUCUACCUCUAUCACAUUAAAUUAUCUCUUCCUUCUCCUUUCUUUGAAUUAUUUUUUUCAUGCUACAUCUAUGUCCUCCCAAUUGUGAAUGUCCAAAUGAAGUUACUUCUGUUGUUACUUCUGUUAUUGCUGCUCUAGCUCCUAAAAGGAAUUCCGCACUUCCUCUGUGGCUAGUGUGAACUAAUGACAUGAAUUAAGUUCUUUGAUGCUCACAAAAACCUGUGAAGUCAGUAGUUUCACUAAUCUCCUUUCAUAUGUGAGAAGACUAAGGCUUAGAAGAACUUGAGGCAAGCAGUUCAACUGCUUACCCCAUGCUUACCCCACCUCUUAAUUUCUAUUCUAUAACGUCUUUUUUUUAAAUAAAUUUUUAUUGGAGUAUAGGUGACUUGCAAUGUUGUGUUAGUUUCAUGUGAAUAGCAAAGUGAAAUAACCAUACCUAUAUAUCCUAUAUAUCCAUUAUUUUUUAGAUUCUUUCCCCAUCUAGGCUAUCACAGAGUGCUGAAUAGAUUUCCCUAAUAUAUAUAUAUAUCCUUGCUACUGGUUGAUUUUGUAUAUAGUAGUGUGUGUAUGCCAAUCCCAACCUCUCCGUCCAUCCCUCCCCUCAAUGUUGCCCUUAUGGUAACCAUAAGUUUGGUUUCGAAUUCUUUGAGUCUGUUUCUGUUUUGUGAAUAAGGUAUAUCAUUUUUUGUUAGAUUCCACAUAUUAGUGAUCUCAUGUAAUAUUUGUCUUUCUCUGUUUUACUUCACUUAGUAUGAUAAUCUCUACUAUAAUGUUUUGAAUGUUAAGGAUCCAUUUGCCUUGAGGGUUUUAGAGGAUUAGAAGCUCUUCUCUCAGAGUUCCCAUUGUGGGGGAGUGGGUUAAGUGUCUGACUGCAGUGUCUUGGGUGUCUGCAAAGGUGUGGGUUUGAUGCCUGGCCCAGCACAGUGGGUUAAAGGAUCUGGUGUUGCCACGGCUGCAGUGUAGGUCACAGCUGUGGCUUGGAUUCAGUCCCUGGCCUGGGAACUUCCAUAUGCUACAGCUGCAGACAAAAAAAAAAAAAAAAA
This 6435-nucleotide long non-coding RNA is filed under the name Sus scrofa (pig). Its description in RNAcentral is "lncRNA (ENSSSCG00025025048.1)". The record is from RNAcentral. Lineage: Eukaryota; Metazoa; Chordata; Mammalia; Artiodactyla; Suidae.